ACGUCUAAGGCCCAGGUGGAUUGGUACCCCGACGUCUGCCAUUUGGCGGUCGAAGGGGGAAACCUCUGGUGUCCUGGCAGCCCUGCGACGGUCGUGUAGCAGAGUGAUAUCGAGCACUCUCGCGGCGUGCAAAAGGUCGGUGACCCACCCGACCCGUCUUGAAACACGGACCAAGGAGUCUAACAUGUGUGCGAGUCAUUGGGCGCACUAAACCCAGAGGCGUAAUGAAAGUGAAAGGAGGGCGUCCCUUGGUCUUCGGGCCUUGGUCGGCGUCCUCCGGGGCCGAUCCCCGACCGGCCGUUGCCGCCCAGCUUCCCAUACCAAAGCGAGGUCAUCCCAAAGGGGACGCGCGGGGUGAGUCCCUCUCCCCCGUUGUGUUUCUGGCUUCGUGGGCUCUGGGCGCGCACGACGGUCCGGCUCCUUCGCGGGAGUCGCCUGUACGCAGGGGGGCGCAGGCCCGGGACUUGCCAUUCGACGCCGUCGCGCAAAUCUGUUGUUGGCCUCGCCGGCUCUGCUUGGGCUCUCGGUUGGUGGUCCGCGCGUCAGGCGGGCUUUGGGCGGGGGUUUCGGCCCUCGCUCGGGUUCGU
RNAcentral lists this ribosomal RNA (587 nucleotides) under Heloecius cordiformis. RNAcentral describes it as "partial 28S ribosomal RNA". The record is from RNAcentral. Lineage: Eukaryota; Metazoa; Arthropoda; Malacostraca; Decapoda.